This 253-nucleotide ribosomal RNA is filed under the name uncultured bacterium. RNAcentral's name for it is "partial 16S ribosomal RNA". It matches the Rfam family "Bacterial small subunit ribosomal RNA", at positions 524 to 776 of the family's 1533-position model. The record is from RNAcentral.
UACGGGGGGAGCAAGCGUUGUUCGGAUUUACUGGGCGUAAAGGGCGCGUAGGCAGCCGCCUAAGUCAGACGUGAAAUCCCUCGGCUCAACCGGGGAACUGCGUCUGAUACUGGGUGGCUUGAAUCCGGGAGAGGGAUGCGGAAUUCCAGGUGUAGCGGUGAAAUGCGUAGAUAUCUGGAGGAACACCGGUGGCGAAGGCGGCAUCCUGGACCGGCAUUGACGCUGAGGCGCGAAAGCGUGGGGAGCGAACGGG